CGAGUCACCCGAGGCACUACACGAGUAGUGCCUCCCACCCUUCCACCUCCUCUAACCUAAUAAUAAGACCAAUUGUGACUAGCGGAUACCAUGCCCUAUGAGGGUUUUGGUUACUGUCAAUUUUGAUAGGAUCCCAGCUGAUGUAAUGUGGAACAAGUCAUACCUCAGAGUGAAAUCUGCCUGGUAGAUGGUACAGGAUACAUACAUCGCCAGCGAGGCCAGCAGUUAAUGCCUCUUCCCAAUUGUCUUUGAGUAUUUUGAUGGCCUACACAAAUGUGCACAGUCCAUGUGAUGAAGAUACUUCGAUGGAGAGCUUUUGGAUCUUGAACUAGGAAUGAUGAAGGAACAGUGAUAUGUUUCCAAGAUGGGUGGCGUAUGACUUAAUAUUGCAGUGAUUACACUCUUUUAACUGAGAUAGUCACUGUCCAGCACUUCUGUGUCAUGUCUGUUAUUUACCCCACACUUGAAUGUUCUUCACAUUUUGCUGU
This is a long non-coding RNA of Hemiscyllium ocellatum (epaulette shark), 488 nucleotides long. RefSeq lists it as uncharacterized. The transcript has 3 exons. Lineage: Eukaryota; Metazoa; Chordata; Chondrichthyes; Orectolobiformes; Hemiscylliidae. The record is from RefSeq and is a predicted model, not a curated record.